CGCAUCUGUGCAUGCAGCAUAUCAAUAAGCGGAGGAAAAGAAACUAACAAGGAUUCCCCUAGUAACGGCGAGUGAAGCGGGAAGAGCUCAAAUUUGAAAUCUUAAAGGGUUUCCCUUUACGAAUUGUAGUUUAAAGAAGUGUUUUCUGUUGAGGUUUUGGUAAAAGUUCUUUGGAAUAGGACAUCAUAGAGGGUGAGAAUCCCGUAUUUGACCUUUACUUUCAACUUUGUGAUACACUUUCAAAGAGUCGGAUUGUUUGGGAAUGCAGUCCAAAAUGGGUGGUAAAUUUCAUCUAAAGCUAAAUAUUGGCGAGAGACCGAUAGCGAACAAGUACCGUGAGGGAAAGAUGAAAAGAACUUUGAAAAGAGAGCUAAACAGUACGUGAAAUUGUCAAAAGGGAAGCGUUUGACACCAGUGCUGUUUUUCUGAAAAUCAAUUAAAGAACUGUUUAUGCUAAGCUGUUUAGACUUUAUCAGCUAACUGUUUAGUUUUGAGCUUUUCUUUAAUGCACUCUUCAGUUAACAAGUCAACAUCAAUUUCUUUUGCUGUAAAAAAGCUUGAGGAAGGUGGCUUGAGAUUCGUCUUAAGUGUUUAUAGCCUCUUGCCUAUGCAGUCGGAGAGAUUGAGGUCUGCAGCGUAGAUCCUUCGGGGCUAAAUGCAUUUGUGCUAAGUUAUAGCAUUUUAUAGACAACUUGUUGACUAUGAUUUGUCUUGUAGCUUACUCGCUUAUGUUAUUUUACCUACGCUUAGGAUGUUGAAUCUGUGCGAGACUAC
Molecule: ribosomal RNA, 774 nt
Filed under: uncultured Neocallimastigales
Lineage: Eukaryota; Fungi; Neocallimastigomycota; Neocallimastigomycetes; Neocallimastigales
Description: partial large subunit ribosomal RNA
Rfam family: Eukaryotic large subunit ribosomal RNA
Source: RNAcentral